UACAGAGGGUGCGAGCGUUAAUCGGAAUUACUGGGCGUAAAGCGCACGUAGGUGGCGACGUAAGUCGGGUGUGAAAGCCCCGGGCUCAACCUGGGAAUUGCAUUCGAGACUGCAUUGCUGGAGUACGGAAGAGGAAGGCGGAAUUCCCGGUGUAGCGGUGAAAUGCGUAGAUAUCUGGAGGAACACCGGUGGCGAAGGCGGCAUCCUGGACCGACACUGACACUGAGGAGCGAAAGCCAGGGGAGCAAACGGG
This 253-nucleotide ribosomal RNA is filed under the name uncultured bacterium. RNAcentral's name for it is "partial 16S ribosomal RNA". It matches the Rfam family "Bacterial small subunit ribosomal RNA", at positions 524 to 776 of the family's 1533-position model. The record is from RNAcentral.